CCUACGGGUGGCAGCAGUGGGGAAUAUUGGACAAUGGGGGGAACCCUGAUCCAGCCAUGCCGCGUGUGUGAAGAAGGCCCUCGGGUUGUAAAGCACUUUCAGUGAGGAAGAACGCCUGGUGGUUAAUACCCAUCAGGAAAGACAUCACUCACAGAAGAAGCACCGGCUAACUCCGUGCCAGCAGCCGCGGUAAUACGGAGGGUGCGAGCGUUAAUCGGAAUUACUGGGCGUAAAGCGCGCGUAGGUGGCUUGAUAAGCCGGUUGUGAAAGCCCCGGGCUCAACCUGGGAACGGCAUCCGGAACUGUCAAGCUAGAGUGCAGGAGAGGAAGGUAGAAUUCCCGGUGUAGCGGUGAAAUGCGUAGAGAUCGGGCGGAAUACCAGUGGCGAAGGCGGCCUUCUGGACUGACACUGACACUGAGGUGCGAAAGCGUGGGUAGCAAACAGGAUUAGAUACCCUGGUAGUC
This 465-nucleotide ribosomal RNA is filed under the name Vreelandella stevensii. RNAcentral describes it as "partial 16S ribosomal RNA". It matches the Rfam family "Bacterial small subunit ribosomal RNA", at positions 338 to 795 of the family's 1533-position model. Lineage: Bacteria; Pseudomonadati; Pseudomonadota; Gammaproteobacteria; Oceanospirillales; Halomonadaceae. The record is from RNAcentral.